This is a non-coding RNA of Pelobates cultripes (western spadefoot toad), 1919 nucleotides long. The record is from the annotation of a GenBank genome assembly. Lineage: Eukaryota; Metazoa; Chordata; Amphibia; Anura; Pelobatidae.
CAGAAACUUGAUUGGUUGUAUGGAGGUGCAUGAGUAAUAGAGAAAAGUGGUGUUGGUUAGAAAGUAUCAGUAAACUUUAAGUGUCAAGGAGUUUAAGAGUUGAGUGUUAGUCCCAGAGAGUGUCCUGAAUCUCUCUCACUGCAUGUCCGAAUCUGAAUCCCCAAACUCCACUAACUCCCUCUCUCUACCAACUAACCUCUCUCUUCCCUUUGUCCUAACUUUUAAAGGGUCAGACUCCCUGUACGUCAUUCGUUGAUAAGGCCAAUAGGAAACUGAGGGUGGGUUCAAUCUAUGGAUCGCAAUUUAGGUAUUUGGUCCAUAGAGAGCAGUCUCGCGUUACUAAACCUUCCUAUCCAGGAAAGAGUUAACUUUUCCUGAUGACGAUUUUGACGUCAUUUGGCUUAUCUAAAAUAACUACCAUAACUUAAAUUUGCUGUCAGUUCAAAGCGUUUGUCUCAGUCUUUGUGGCAACUACUUUGAUCGUAAUUUGUAAAAUUGACAGUUCUAAACUCAAUUUCACCCCUUACUUACAAUGGGACCUUGUAAAAUUUAGAAAGUAAAAUUAAUUACUUAGUCUUCUCUGUCACUAGUGUCUGUGCUUAUAUAAUGCAUUCCUUAGCUCAGGCUCAGUGGUUAGUGUGUCACGUUCUGUUCCUCGCUGCGGAUCAUUCUGCAUUGGCUUCUGGUAUUCAGUACUCUUUUUGCUUUCCUUGCUUGGUUUUUCUGGUCUAUGUCUGGUUUUCUUUGUUGCUGGGAUUUCUGGGUUCAUUUCUGUAAUCCAUGCCUGGGAUUCCCAGUCUCCAGGUUUCCUUUAAAUGUUUGUUUUAUGUUGCCACACCCGCUUGUUUCCACUUACCCUUUUGUUUCAGCUUGGACCUGCAGCAGUAUUUCAUCUCUCUGCCCUUUCUUGCAGGUAAGUGCUAUUGUGGUUUAGUGUGGUUGUUUUAGUAUACAUUAGGCAGUGUAGGACCUGCCAGAUAUGGGGUACAUUGGCGUUGUUGGCAGGCUUAUGCAAUGUAUGAUCAUAUAAUGUAACUAAAUCCCCAUGCUUUUCAUAAUUAGUGCUUAGCUAUGUUUCCUCUUGGUUUUUCCUUGUAUCUCUUGUCUUGUUUUGUAAUCCCAGUCUAUGUACAGUCCUGUCCUGCCCCUGUUUAGUUAAUGUUCCCUUAUGUGUUGUGUACAUGUUCUAGGUUCUGCUUUCUGUCCUGCUCUGGUUCUGCGUUCUCCUAGUUUUGUCUUGUUUUCAUGUAUGGUGCCUAUUUCUAGUCUUGCCCUGUUCUCCUAAUCUUAUCUUGAUCUCUUGCAUGAUGUCUAUUUCUAGUAAUUCCUUGUUCUCCUAGUUUGGUCUUGGUUUCAUGUAUGGUGUCUUGCUCUCCUAGUUCUGCCUUGAUUCAGUACUGGAUACAUCCCUGUUGCAGAGCCUCCCUAUUCAGCUCCUGGGAGGUCUGCUUAAUUAUCUGCUCCUAGUUCCUGGGAUCCGCAUAAGCUGAAUCAGGGUUCUGGUAUGUGGCUGCACAAACGCUGGUGCUCAACACCAGGGGGCGUGUGGUUACCCUGCACCAGACCCUGCCAAUCCAUCUCCACACUGUGACUCCUACACUCAACAUCAGGCAUAAUGGGUCCCGGUCCACGCACCGCCGCCCGGACAGUGUCUGGGUCCCGGGCACCGGACCGCCACCCGUGACAAGUGAAAGCAAGGAAAUUAUGUGUCUUUGUUAUCCUGAAGAUCGCAAAAUGGAGUCCGCUCUGUUCUGAGUGACUCUGGCAAUAUACACUUUAAAUUUCUUUCUUAGCCCAAAAUGUCUGCCAAUAUAAAUAUCCUGACAGGCUAUUCCUUUGACUAUUCUCUGACGUUGAGCCUGGCCACCCUAAAGGUCCGGUAUACGUCUCUUUCUUGGUUACUCUCUGCGUGAAGGGGU